This 757-nucleotide long non-coding RNA is filed under the name Setaria italica (foxtail millet). RNAcentral's name for it is "long non-coding RNA (SITA_LNC001525)". Lineage: Eukaryota; Viridiplantae; Streptophyta; Magnoliopsida; Poales; Poaceae. The record is from RNAcentral.
GCGGCGUCCGGCAGCCCGUGGUACGGCCCCGACCGCGUCAAGUACCUCGGCCCCUUCUCCGGCGAGCCCCCGAGCUACCUGACCGGCGAGUUCCCCGGCGACUACGGCUGGGACACCGCUGGGCUGUCCGCUGACCCCGAGACCUUCGCCAAGAACCGCGAGUUGGAGGUCAUCCACUCCCGCUGGGCCAUGCUCGGCGCGCUCGGCUGCGUCUUCCCCGAGCUGCUCGCCCGCAACGGCGUCAAGUUCGGCGAGGCCGUCUGGUUCAAGGCCGGCUCCCAGAUCUUUAGCGAGGGCGGCCUCGACUACCUCGGCAACCCCAGCCUUAUCCAUGCGCAGAGCAUCCUCGCCAUCUGGGCCUGCCAGGUCGUGCUCAUGGGCGCCGUCGAGGGCUACCGCAUUGCCGGCGGCCCACUCGGCGAGGUCGUCGACCCGCUCUACCCCGGCGGCAGCUUCGACCCCCUCGGCCUGGCCGACGACCCUGAGGCCUUCGCCGAGCUCAAGGUCAAGGAGCUCAAGAAUGGCCGCCUCGCCAUGUUCUCCAUGUUCGGAUUCUUCGUCCAGGCCAUCGUCACCGGCAAGGGCCCGCUCGAGAACCUGGCCGACCACCUCGCCGACCCAGUCAACAACAACGCCUGGGCCUACGCCACCAACUUCGUCCCCGGCAACUAAGCUCGCCAUUCGCCUCUGCAACUCCAUUGUCUUCCGGCCGGGAGGGGCGUACGUGGAUUGGUUGAUGCUGCAAGCGAGCUGCCGC